CAUAGCGACUAAUCGUGGCAUAUCAAUAAGCGGAGGAAAAGAAACUAACAAGGAUUCCCUUAGUAACGGCGAGUGAAGCGGGAAGAGCUCAAAUUUGAAAUCUUCAAGGUUUUACCUUGACGAAUUGUAGUUUAAAGAAGUGUUUUCUGUUGGAGUUUUGGUAAAAGUUCUUUGGAAUAGGACAUCAUAGAGGGUGAGAAUCCCGUAUUUGACCAUUAUUUCCAGCUGUGUGAUACACUUUCAAAGAGUCGGAUUGUUUGGGAAUGCAGUCCAAAAUGGGUGGUAAAUUUCAUCUAAAGCUAAAUAUUGGCGAGAGACCGAUAGCGAACAAGUACCGUGAGGGAAAGAUGAAAAGAACUUUGAAAAGAGAGUUAAACAGUACGUGAAAUUGUCAAAAGGGAAGCGUUUGACACCAGUGUUGUUUUCUCGAAAAUCAAUUAAAAAUGAUGGGAUUUUGUGUUGUAUUGACUUUAUCAGCUUUCUGCACUUUUUUCUUAUCUUUUUUAAUGCACUUUUCGUUUAACAAGUCAACAUCAAUUUCUUUUGUUGUAAAAGAGUCAUUGGAAGGUGGCUUUUUCUUCGGAAAAAGUGUUUAUAGCCUUUGGCUUCUGCAAUCGAAGAGAUUGAGGUCUGCAGCGUAGAUCCUUCGGGGUUAGAUACAUUUGUGCUAAGCUAUAGUUCUUUAUAGACAACUUGUUGACUAUAAUCAAUCCUGUAACUUACUCGCUUAUGCUAUUUUACCUACGCUUAGGAUGUUGAUAUGCAUGACUGAUAU
Molecule: ribosomal RNA, 775 nt
Filed under: uncultured Neocallimastigales
Lineage: Eukaryota; Fungi; Neocallimastigomycota; Neocallimastigomycetes; Neocallimastigales
Description: partial large subunit ribosomal RNA
Rfam family: Eukaryotic large subunit ribosomal RNA (bases 5-694)
Source: RNAcentral